GUUGUAUGGUUAAGUGACUAAGCGUACACGGUGGAUGCCUUGGCAGUCAGAGGCGAUGAAGGACGUAUUAACUUGCGAUAAGCCCAGAUUAGGCAGUAAAAGCCACUUGAGUCUGGGAUUUCCGAAUGGGGAAACCCACUAGCAUAAGCUAGUAUCAUUAACUGAAUACAUAGGUUAAUGAAGCGAACCGGGGGAACUGAAACAUCUAAGUACCCCGAGGAAGAGAAAUCAACCGAGAUUCCGGUAGUAGCGGCGAGCGAAACCGGAUUAGCCCUUAAGUUAGUUCUGCGUUAGGUGAAGGUUCUGGAAAGUUCCGCGAUACAGGGUGAUAGCCCCGUAACCAACAACGCUUUAUUAGUGAAAUCGAGUAGGACGGGACACGUGAUAUCCUGUUUGAACAUGGGGGGACCAUCCUCCAAGGCUAAAUACUCCUGACUGACCGAUAGUGAACCAGUACCGUGAGGGAAAGGCGAAAAGAACC
Molecule: ribosomal RNA, 481 nt
Filed under: Photobacterium kishitanii
Lineage: Bacteria; Pseudomonadati; Pseudomonadota; Gammaproteobacteria; Vibrionales; Vibrionaceae
Description: bacterial LSU rRNA
Rfam family: Bacterial large subunit ribosomal RNA
Source: RNAcentral